Molecule: signal recognition particle RNA, 97 nt
Filed under: Pseudomonadales bacterium
Lineage: Bacteria; Pseudomonadati; Pseudomonadota; Gammaproteobacteria; Pseudomonadales
Also listed under: 2 other names
Description: signal recognition particle sRNA small type
Rfam family: Bacterial small signal recognition particle RNA
About the family: The signal recognition particle (SRP) is a universally conserved ribonucleoprotein involved in the co-translational targeting of proteins to membranes. Archaeal SRP consists of a 7S RNA and homologues of the eukaryotic SRP19 and SRP54 proteins.
Source: RNAcentral
CCUCGGUCCUUCCGCAAUAAGGACUUGUGAACCCCGCCAGGCCCGGAAGGGAGCAACGGUAGCAAAGAAUUCAUGUGCCGGAAUGCGGCUGAGGUGG